UAUAUUUUAUGUGUAAUAUAUUUUAUAUGUAAUAUUAUAAUAAUAUUGGCAAUCUUGAGCUCGAUGGAUAUUGUUCCAGAACCAUCUGUAUUUUUUCAUGUCUAUAAUAAUAAUUACUGAUGCGUCAUAGCAUCUCUGUUGGUCCUGAAAGAGAUGUAAGUAUUCCAAAAAACAGCGACUAUUUGAUUGACAAGAACUUGAUAAUUAAGUGGAACAAGACCAAAGUUAAUUAACUGAACCAGAGGCCAAAGCUGAAAAAUUAAAUUAUUAAAAAUAAAAAGCCGAUGGUCGCCAACAAUGCAGCAAUGAAUGGAGGCGCAAAUAGAAAUUGGUCACAAGCGACUUUUUUUACGGCAACGACACUGCCCUUGGAGCCGAAAAAUUUGUCGAGAACUCCAUACCAGCCUCUCACAGCAGCCAUGAAGAAACCAAUAGCAUAAAAUUGCGCCGUUCUAACAAAAUCCAGUUCGCUAAUUUUUCGCUUCUCGACCAAAUUUUGGGCGAUUUGAUCACCAACACCCAUCAGUGUGCCUUCAAAAUUUUUAAUUACACAUCAGAUUUUAUGACCGGACACCGACUGGGACAUCAUAGUGGUGGACCCAAAAACGAAGAACCAAUAUCAAGAUACGGAUACGGUUAGCUGUGGGACAAGGUUAUUUUUACUAUGACAGCUAAUGUUAGAAGAUCUUAAGGAGAAGCGGAGGCAGCAAGAAUGGAAACAACGGGAAGCUGAACUUCAGGAGGAGUUAGAACAAUUGAAGCGGGAAUGGAAACGUCAGGAAGCCGAAUUUUAGAAGAAGUUAGAACAAUUUAAAUCUACUGCCCUUUCCCGGAAACGAAUCGACCUGACCAAGAUGAAGAA
RNAcentral lists this long non-coding RNA (862 nucleotides) under Cotesia glomerata. RNAcentral describes it as "uncharacterized LOC123261868, transcript variant X2". The record is from RNAcentral. Lineage: Eukaryota; Metazoa; Arthropoda; Insecta; Hymenoptera; Braconidae.